UGAAGAAUUUGUCCAACGGCGGGGGAUAGCCGGCCCAACGGCCGGGUAAUACCGCGUACGACCCUCGGGGGGCAUCCCCUGAAGGUGAAAGCCGCAAGGCGCCGAUGGAGAACUUCGCAGCCUAUCAGCUAGUUGGUGAGGUAAUGGCUCACCAAGGCGACGAUCCGUAGCUGGUCUGAGAGGAUGAUCAGCCACACUGGGACUGAGACCACGGCCCAGACCUCCGUACGGGGAGNAG
This 238-nucleotide ribosomal RNA is filed under the name uncultured bacterium. Its description in RNAcentral is "partial 16S ribosomal RNA". It matches the Rfam family "Bacterial small subunit ribosomal RNA", at positions 118 to 351 of the family's 1533-position model. The record is from RNAcentral.